GACGAACGCUGGCGGCGUGCUUAAUACAUGCAAGUCAACUGAACUUUAGGUAGCAAUAUUUAAAGGGAGGUGGCGCACGGGUGAGUAACACGUAGGUAAUCUGCCUUCAGGACUGACAUAACUCCGCGAAAGCGGGACUAAAAUCAGAUGAUGCAGCGGCUCGACAUCGAGACAGUUGUUAAACCUUCGGGGCCUGAAGAUGAGCCUGCGUCUGAUUAGGUAGUUGGAGGGGUAAUGGCCCACCAAGCCUGCGAUCAGUAGCUGGUCUGAGAGGAUGAUCAGCCACACUGGAACUGAGACACGGUCCAGACUCCUACGGGAGGCAGCAGUAAGGAAUAUUGCUCAAUGGCCGAAAGGCUGAAGCAGCAACGCCGCGUGGAGGAUGAAAUACUUUAGUAUGUAAACUCCUGUAAGAGGGGAAAAUAUACAGUUCUGCUGUAUUGAUUGUACCUCAGAGUAAGCACCGGCUAACU
RNAcentral lists this ribosomal RNA (473 nucleotides) under uncultured bacterium. RNAcentral describes it as "bacterial SSU rRNA". It matches the Rfam family "Bacterial small subunit ribosomal RNA", at positions 28 to 502 of the family's 1533-position model. The record is from RNAcentral.